CAGUAGCCGCGGGAAUACGUAGGGUGCGAGCGUUAAUCGGAAUUACUGGGCGUAAAGCGUGCGCAGGCGGUUCGUUAAGACAGAUGUGAAAUCCCCGGGCUUAACCUGGGAACUGCAUUUGUGACUGGCGAGCUAGAGUAUGGCAGAGGGGGGUAGAAUUCCACGUGUAGCAGUGAAAUGCGUAGAGAUGUGGAGGAAUACCGAUGGCGAAGGCAGCCCCCUGGGCCAAUACUGACGCUCGUGCACGAAAGCGUGGGGAGCAAACAGGAUUAGAUACCCCGGUAGUCCCUGUCUCUUAUAC
This 301-nucleotide ribosomal RNA is filed under the name uncultured bacterium. RNAcentral's name for it is "partial 16S ribosomal RNA". It matches the Rfam family "Bacterial small subunit ribosomal RNA", at positions 509 to 807 of the family's 1533-position model. The record is from RNAcentral.